This 253-nucleotide ribosomal RNA is filed under the name uncultured bacterium. Its description in RNAcentral is "partial 16S ribosomal RNA". It matches the Rfam family "Bacterial small subunit ribosomal RNA", at positions 524 to 776 of the family's 1533-position model. The record is from RNAcentral.
UACGAAGGGGGCUAGCGUUGUUCGGAAUUACUGGGCGUAAAGCGCGCGUAGGCGGAUUGUUAAGUUAGGGGUGAAAUCCCAGGGCUCAACCCUGGAACUGCCUUUAAUACUGGCAAUCUCGAGUCCGAGAGAGGUGAGUGGAAUUCCGAGUGUAGAGGUGAAAUUCGUAGAUAUUCGGAGGAACACCAGUGGCGAAGGCGGCUCACUGGCUCGGUACUGACGCUGAGACGCGAAAGCGUGGGGAGCAAACAGG